RNAcentral lists this long non-coding RNA (199 nucleotides) under Sorghum bicolor (sorghum). Its description in RNAcentral is "long non-coding RNA (SBIC_LNC017518)". The record is from RNAcentral. Lineage: Eukaryota; Viridiplantae; Streptophyta; Magnoliopsida; Poales; Poaceae.
ACCAUGAAGAACGGACCAGUGCGAGUUCCAGAAGAAGUCAAAAACGGACCAGUGGAAGUUAAAAACGGACCAGUACAAAGAAUCUUCAUAACUUUUUACUCACAAAAGCUAUGAAGGUCCAUGAGCACUUGUUGGAAAGCUUGACGAGUCUACUUUCCAAUGAAUUUAGUGGCGACCAGUUUGGAUACUCCAUAUUGCC